RNAcentral lists this non-coding RNA (1016 nucleotides) under Lottia gigantea (owl limpet). RNAcentral's name for it is "Eukaryotic large subunit ribosomal RNA". It matches the Rfam family "Eukaryotic large subunit ribosomal RNA", at positions 672 to 1602 of the family's 3401-position model. The record is from Rfam by way of RNAcentral. Lineage: Eukaryota; Metazoa; Mollusca; Gastropoda; Lottiidae.
AGUCUAACGUGAGCGCGAGUCACAGGGAAAAACACUCCCUUGGGGCGCAGCGAAAGCGAUGUGGUCCGAUCCUCUCUCGGGUGAGGGGGGCGCAGGACCGGCCCGUCGGGGGUUGUUACGGCCUCGGCGGAGCAAGAGCGCUCGCGUUGGGACCCGAAAGAUGGUGAACUAGGCCCGAGCGGGACGAAGCCGGGAGAAAUGCUGGUGGAGGUCCUAAGUGGUUCUGACGCGCAAAUCGAUCACGGAACUUGGGCGUAGGGGCGAAAGACUAAUCGAACCAUCUAGUAGCUGGUUCCCUCCGAAGUUUCCCCCAGGAUAGCUGGCGCUCGCCGAGACAGUUUCGUCCGGUAAAGCGAAUGAUUAGAGGAGUCCGUGCCGAAAUGGCGUGGAGCUAUUGUCAAACUUUGAACGGGCGAGAAGGGGUGCCUACCGCUCGAUCUGGGAGGCUCGGCCCCCGUCGAAAUGUACGAGUGCCAAGUGGGCCACUUUUGGUAAGCAGAACUGGCGCUGUGGGAUGAACCAAACGCCGGGUUAAGGCGCCCGAUCGUCACGCUCAGCAGAACCCACAAAAGGCGUCCAUCGGUAAAGACAGCAGGACGGUGACCAUGGAAGUCGGUAUCCGCCAAGGAGUGUGUAACAACUCACCUGCCGAAUUGGUGGGCCCUGAAAAUGGAUGGCGCUGUAGCGUGCAGCCUACACCCGGCCGUCUCGGCAAUUUUCUCCGGCCUGCCGGUAGAGACUGACCGAAGCCGAGACGAGUAGGAGGGUCGCCGCGGUCAGCGCUGAAGCACUUAGACGCGAGUCUGGGUGUAGCGGCCGCGGGUGCCGAUCUUGGUGGUAGUAGCAAAUAUUCGAGCGAGAACCUCGAAGGCCGAAGUGGAGAAGGGUUCCGCGUUGCUCACUUCGAUCGGCCGCGGGUUAGUCGGUCCUAAGGCACUGGGAGAAAUCCUACGGGAAGCGGGACGUUUUUGAAAAUCAUUAAAAAUCAGUCUCACCCAAUGCACGGGCCGAAAGGG